This 495-nucleotide ribosomal RNA is filed under the name uncultured bacterium. RNAcentral's name for it is "partial 16S ribosomal RNA". It matches the Rfam family "Bacterial small subunit ribosomal RNA", at positions 28 to 507 of the family's 1533-position model. The record is from RNAcentral.
GAUGAACGCUGGCGGCGUGCCUAAUACAUGCAAGUAGAACGCUGAAGGAGGAGCUUGCUCUUCUGGAUGAGUUGCGAACGGGUGAGUAACGCGUAGGUAACCUGCCUGGUAGCGGGGGAUAACUAUUGGAAACGAUAGCUAAUACCGCAUGACAACAGUUAUUGCAUGAUAACUGUUUAAAAGGGGCAACUGCUCCACUACCAGAUGGACCUGCGUUGUAUUAGCUAGUUGGUGAGGUAACGGCUCACCAAGGCGACGAUACAUAGCCGACCUGAGAGGGGGAUCGGCCACACUGGGACUGAGACACGGCCCAGACUCCUACGGGAGGCAGCAGUAGGGAAUCUUCGGCAAUGGACGGAAGUCUGACCGAGCAACGCCGCGGGAGUGAAGAAGGUUUUCGGAUCGUAAAGCUCGGUUGUAAGAGAAGAACGAGUGUGAGAGUGGAAAGUUCACACUGUGACGGUAUCUUACCAGAAAGGGACGGCUAACUACGUG